AGAGUUGAUAUGGCUCAGGAUGAACGCUAGCGACAGGCUAACACAUGCAAGCGAGGGGCAGCACGGGAGUAGCAAUACUUGGUGGCGACCGGCGCACGGGUGAGUAACGCGUAUGCAACCUACCCGUAAUCAGAGGGGAAUAACCCGGCGAAAGUCGGACUAAUACCGCAUAAAACAGGGGCACCGCAUGGUGAUAUUUGUUAAAGAAAUUCGCUGAUAGAUGGGCAUGCGUUCCAUUAGGUAGUUGGUGAGGUAACGGCUCACCAAGCCGACGAUGGAUAGGGGAACUGAGAGGUUGGUCCCCCACACUGGUACUGAGACACGGACCAGACUCCUACGGGAGGCAGCAGUGAGGAAUAUUGGUCAAUGGGCGGGAGCCUGAACCAGCCAAGUCGCGUGAAGGGAAAGAAGGAUCUAUGGUUCGUAAACUUCUUUUGCGAGGGGAAUAAAGUGCAGGACGUGUCCUGUUUUGUAUGUACCCUGAGAAUAAGGAUCGGCUAACUCCGUGCCAGCAGCUGC
RNAcentral lists this ribosomal RNA (519 nucleotides) under uncultured bacterium. RNAcentral describes it as "bacterial SSU rRNA". It matches the Rfam family "Bacterial small subunit ribosomal RNA", at positions 8 to 518 of the family's 1533-position model. The record is from RNAcentral.